GACGAACGCUGGCGGCGUGCUUAACACAUGCAAGUCGAACGGAAAGGCCCUGCUUGCAGGGUACUCGAGUGGCGAACGGGUGAGUAACACGUGGGUGAUCUGCCCUGCACUUCGGGAUAAGCCUGGGAAACUGGGUCUAAUACCGGAUAGGAGCCAUUUUUAGUGUGAUGGUUGGAAAGUUUUUUCGGUGUAGGAUGAGCUCGCGGCCUAUCAGCUUGUUGGUGGGGUAAUGGCCUACCAAGGCGGCGACGGGUAGCCGGCCUGAGAGGGUGGACGGCCACAUUGGGACUGAGAUACGGCCCAGACUCCUACGGGAGGCAGCAGUGGGGAAUAUUGCACAAUGGGCGCAAGCCUGAUGCAGCGACGCCGCGUGGGGGAUGACGGCCUUCGGGUUGUAAACUCCUUUCGCUAGGGACGAAGCUUUUAGUGACGGUACCUAGAUAAGAAGCACCGGCUAACUACGUG
RNAcentral lists this ribosomal RNA (465 nucleotides) under uncultured bacterium. Its description in RNAcentral is "partial 16S ribosomal RNA". It matches the Rfam family "Bacterial small subunit ribosomal RNA", at positions 28 to 507 of the family's 1533-position model. The record is from RNAcentral.